Molecule: ribosomal RNA, 253 nt
Filed under: uncultured bacterium
Lineage: Bacteria
Description: partial 16S ribosomal RNA
Rfam family: Bacterial small subunit ribosomal RNA
Source: RNAcentral
GACGUAGGAGGCGAGCGUUGUCCGGAUUCAUUGGGCGUAAAGCGCGCGCAGGCGGUCCUUUAAGUCUGAUGUGAAAGCCCACGGCUCAACCGUGGAGGGUCAUUGGAAACUGGGGGACUUGAGUACAGAAGAGAAGAGUGGAAUUCCACGUGUAGCGGUGAAAUGCGUAGAGAUGUGGAGGAACACCAGUGGCGAAGGCGACUCUUUGGUCUGUAACUGACGCUGAGGCGCGAAAGCGUGGGGAGCAAACAGG